UGAGUAGGACAGAUGAUCGCUGCCAUGCAGACGAAAGGGCAUGGGAGAGGAAAGUCCGGGCUUCGCAGGGCAGGAUGCCAGAUAACGUCUGGUGGAGGUAACUCCCAGGCUAGUGCAACAGAAAUAUACCGCUUAGCAUUUUGCUAAGUAAGGGUGGAAAGGCAGUGUAAGAGACUACCGUGCUGGUGGUAACAUCAGUAGCCAUGUAAACCCCAUUCGAAGCAAGACCGAAUAGAAAGCUAUGAAUUUGCCCGAUUCGCUUUCAGGUGGGUCGCUUGAAACUGUUGGUGACAGCAGUUCUAGAUAGAUGAUCAUCCAAGACAUAACCCGGCUUAUCGUUCUACUCAUAUA
Molecule: RNase P RNA, 351 nt
Filed under: Butyrivibrio sp. YAB3001
Lineage: Bacteria; Bacillati; Bacillota; Clostridia; Lachnospirales; Lachnospiraceae
Description: Bacterial RNase P class A
Rfam family: Bacterial RNase P class A
About the family: Ribonuclease P (RNase P) is a ubiquitous endoribonuclease, found in archaea, bacteria and eukarya as well as chloroplasts and mitochondria.
Source: Rfam by way of RNAcentral